GCCGGGGUGGUGGAAUGGCAGACACUGGGGACUUAAAAUCACCUGACUGCAAGGUCGUGCGGGUUCAAAUCCCGCCCUCGGCACCA
RNAcentral lists this transfer RNA (86 nucleotides) under Candidatus Yanofskybacteria bacterium RIFCSPHIGHO2_02_FULL_41_12. RNAcentral's name for it is "tRNA-Leu". It matches the Rfam family "tRNA". From Rfam's summary of the family: Transfer RNA (tRNA) molecules are approximately 80 nucleotides in length. Their secondary structure includes four short double-helical elements and three loops (D, anti-codon, and T loops). Lineage: Bacteria; Candidatus Yanofskyibacteriota. The record is from RNAcentral.